CUCACUCUCAACUCUUACCAAGUUACCAUCGUCACUCAGCUCUCGACUCCAUGGCAACCUUGGAAAAGCUCAGAUCCCCGCCGUCACCAGCACCGUCCUCGCUGUGCCAUUAGCCUCUCCUCCGCCUCGUCUCCUCCUCGUCACUAGCAUCGUCCUCCUCGCCAAUCUCCUCUGCAUCGUUGCCAGUGUCGUCUUCUCUGCUCUCCUACUUUGGCCAUCUUUCUGCUCUGGCCACCAUGCCCUAACCCUCAACAUUGCGCUGGCCACCGUCUUCUUUGUCAUCCCUUCCACCGCGCCUCCGCCUCGCAUCUGCUACAUCCCUCGUUCGUGCUCCUCCUCGCCGAUCUCCUCUACAUCGUUGCCAGUGUCAUCUUCUCUGCUCUCCUUCCUUGUGGUUUCACCUUACUUUUGUCAUCGCCUUUCUGCUCUGGCCAUCUUCCUGCUUUGGCCACCAUGCCCUAACCUUCAACAUUGCGCUGGCCACCGUCUUCUUUGUCAUCCCCUCCACCGCGCCUCCACCUCGCAUCUGCUGAUCCCUCGUUCGUGUUUGUCUCGCCAUUUUUGCUUUGGUCGAUUUUCCCUGCUGGUGCAUUCGUCUCUGCCAUUCCCUGCCUCGCCGUUUUUGCUUCGCUUGAUUCUCUACUGAGGGUUGUAAUAUUUAGAGAUGGGACAUAUCUGACCUUAAAAGAAGUUUUUGAGAGUUUGGACUAGACUGGGUUAAAUCUUAUUCCUAAAGUAGGAUAAUCUCAUUCAAGGUAUAGAGAAGGAAAUUGGAUCAUUACAAUUGGAAGAAAAGAAGCUUCUUGCUGAGAUAAAGAGAACUGCUAAGACGGGAAACGAGGUUGCAACUAAUAUAAAGUUCUUGCUCGACAGUUGGUAAGGCUUACACAGUAGAUUGCUAACCUUUAAGGUAGUCAAGCUCAGAUGAGAGGCAUAGCAACUCACACACAGCUAUUGAGAGAGAAGAAGAACAAGUUUGAAGAGGUUCUGUUGUUUCCGCUUUGCUCCUUCAUCCCUGCUGGUGCAUUCGUCUCUGCCAUUCCCUAUUUAGUUUUCUCUGCCAUUAGUCACUGAGUCUGCAGUUUAUUGGUUAGUUUCAAGGUGUAUUGUAGUUUCUAUGUUUUUAAGUUUUAUAAGGUUCAGAGUGUGAUGAAAUUAAAAAGUGUGGAGCCUGGACCAUAGUAGUAUUUUGAUUGUUGCAUAUUCCAGUUCAAAAAGCUUGAUGACCAUUUCUAUAUAUGCUAUGAAUACAUUAUGCAUAUGGUUUGUGGUUCUCACACUGGCCAAUAAUUGGGAA
Long non-coding RNA from Arachis duranensis, 1297 nucleotides. RefSeq lists it as uncharacterized. The record is from RefSeq and is a predicted model, not a curated record. The transcript has 6 exons. NCBI's taxonomy places the organism in Eukaryota, Viridiplantae, Streptophyta, Magnoliopsida, Fabales, Fabaceae.